UGGGGAAUAUUGGACAAUGGGCGAAAGCCUGAUCCAGCCAUGCCGCGUGUGUGAAGAAGGUCUUCGGAUUGUAAAGCACUUUAAGUUGGGAGGAAGGGCAUUAAGCGAAUACCUUGCUGUUUUGACGUUACCGACAGAAUAAGCACCGGCUAACUCUGUGCCAGCAGCCGCGGUAAUACAGAGGGUGCGAGCGUUAAUCGGAUUUACUGGGCGUAAAGCGUGCGUAGGCGGCUAAUUGAGUCGGAUGUGAAAUCCCCGAGCUUAACUUGGGAAUUGCAUUCGAUACUGGUUAGCUAGAGUGUGGGAGAGGAUGGUAGAAUUCCAGGUGUAGCGGUGAAAUGCGUAGAGAUCUGGAGGAAUACCGAUGGCGAAGGCAGCCAUCUGGCCUAACACUGACGCUGAGGUACGAAAGCAUGGGGAGCAAACAGG
RNAcentral lists this ribosomal RNA (429 nucleotides) under Pseudomonadota bacterium. RNAcentral describes it as "Proteobacteria bacterium partial 16S ribosomal RNA". It matches the Rfam family "Bacterial small subunit ribosomal RNA", at positions 355 to 776 of the family's 1533-position model. Lineage: Bacteria; Pseudomonadati; Pseudomonadota. The record is from RNAcentral.